CUGGGAAGCAGAGCACAGGAAGCAUACCGGCUCAGAAAGGGGCAAGGCACCAGACAUAACUAAUGGUCAGGUCUCUCUGACUCACCUGGAUACACCUCAAAGUGUGCUCCAUCAAUCCCCAAUGAGGAUUGCAAUAGCAAUCAAUUUGAAAUUAUACUCUGCUAUACUCCUUGUUAGGGUUGAUGCACUGUGUCAACUUGAGGAGUCUAGAGGCUUGACUAAGUGACUCAGCAGUUCAACAUGCUGAGGUGAAAAGGACACACCCUUACUGCUCUGGAAUGUUGUUCAUUGUGUCAAGGUUGACUUCGCUAUUUUCUAGAGAUGGCAAGACAAGACAUUGGAAAUACAAGAUGCAGAUAUUGGACACUGACACUGUUUCACUCAUAAAUAAGUUACCAACAAGUAAAUCUAAAAUUGUAGUGUGGAAAGUGAUGUGGAAAAAAAAAAUCUUACUUUGUGUCAUGUAGCAGUGAUCUAAUGCUAACAUUUUCUGGAGUUUUCUGGAGCAAAGAAUGGCUCACCAAGUUUGAAAUAAAUAAAAACUAAUUAGGCAAAAUAGGAGUUUAAAUAGGUUAUUGAAAGAGAAUUUAAAAACAAAGCAGAGACUAAAGUGACAUUAAACUGAAGAGGUAGGGAAAAAAUAUUCAAAGCAUUGC
This 656-nucleotide long non-coding RNA is filed under the name Chinchilla lanigera (long-tailed chinchilla). RNAcentral describes it as "lncRNA (ENSCLAG00000024520.1)". The record is from RNAcentral. Lineage: Eukaryota; Metazoa; Chordata; Mammalia; Rodentia; Chinchillidae.